Molecule: long non-coding RNA, 1348 nt
Filed under: Pogona vitticeps (central bearded dragon)
Lineage: Eukaryota; Metazoa; Chordata; Lepidosauria; Squamata; Agamidae
Description: lncRNA (ENSPVIG00000008303.1)
Source: RNAcentral
UGUUUAAACACUGUGUAGCAUGUAGAAGUAGUCAAUUCUGCAUUGGAUUUGGUGGGACCCACUCUCUCAAACUAGUCAUCUCAUGGGGUUACAGUUUGAUGUUGUUUAUGGGGUGUUCAUGUGAAGGAAAAUGUCAGAAAAUUAAAGGGUAUGUACUUUCUCAGCCACUAAAUAUAUGAAAACUUAGUGUCCCUCCUGUAGGCUCAUGGACCAUUUUCACAGCGGAACAGUUCUAGGAAAUGUCUUCUCAUUGCAGCUCUGCAGCCACCUUAUGUGUCAGCAAAAUUUCAUUUAUUUAUUUUACAGUACUUCUAAAAAGAAAGAUGGACUAACAACUGUCUUCCAACACUUCAUAUUUAUCAGCCCACAAAGUACCUCGAACCAAGCACAUGAAGGGAUUACUUUUCUUGAGAACUGGAUAAGAGGAACACCUCUGCAAAAACACAAGUGAGUUUUUAAUCUCUCCUUCUGUCAAUCAGACUGUUAAUUGAAAGUGACCAAUUUCAUGAAUUGUAGAAAGUACAUUUUCAUUCCAAGGAUGUGAGAUCUGAAUUUCCCACAUUUAUUUCUUGUUUGUAUCACACACAAAGGAAUCUUUCAUGUCUGUUAAUUAAGAGACACCUUCACUUAAUGAUCCAUCAUACAACUUGACAUUAUUGAUCAAUGUGUUUAAAGUGAUGUGUUUAAAGUGAACAACUAAUUUAAAGGUAGCAACAUUGUCUUCAUUUGUAGACUUCUGGGUUUAGGAAUAUGUUCAUUCCCUGUUAAUAUAAAUACAUCUGAAGUUUCCUUCAUUAUUUUUUUCCUCACUUUUGACAGGCAGCUAGGAAUGUAGAUUGUUUUUCCCCCCUGAGUAUGUAAGACUAGCAAAGAAUGGAUGAUGGGAUGGAAAGACAUGGUUGAGAGACUUAAUUUUUAAAAAUUCCUGUACAAAAUUGACCUGCACCUCUUGGACCGAUGUGCCAACUGGAUCUUAGAAUUCCAAUUUCACACUGUCACAAAUGUUGCAGCAGAAAUCUCAGCAGUUUAGACAUGUAAAAGGGAAUGGUCCAUUAGGUCUAGACUUAUGAUUGAUGGAGUUCUACUAAUUCUGGAGGAAAAGAGAAAGACAGUGAUUCUCAGAGAUGGCGCUUUUUUGGCACAAACUGUUAGAGUUUUUUCAGAGCAUUUAUGAUGCAAAGUGACAGGAAGAGCUGAUUAUACGAUGGCAAUUUCUGUGUGUUUUUCAUUUAAGUUAUUAUAAUCAACGUGAGCCAUCUUAGGUUAUUAGAAACCAAGAUCAAGAUCAUCCACACUAUGUAAAGGAAAACAAGCAAAAAUAAACAAUCGGAGCCUAUCCUACCUUUCA